RNAcentral lists this ribosomal RNA (732 nucleotides) under uncultured Leptotrichia sp. RNAcentral's name for it is "bacterial SSU rRNA". It matches the Rfam family "Bacterial small subunit ribosomal RNA", at positions 28 to 776 of the family's 1533-position model. The record is from RNAcentral. Lineage: Bacteria; Fusobacteriati; Fusobacteriota; Fusobacteriia; Fusobacteriales; Leptotrichiaceae.
GAUGAACGCUGACAGAAUGCUUAACACAUGCAAGUCUUUGGCGAAGCUGUGCUUGCACAGCCUAGCCAAGGCGGACGGGUGAGUAACGCGUAAGGGACUUGCCCUGCAGUCAGGGAUAACAGACGGAAACGACUGAUAAAACCUGGUAAAGUCAGGCGGACUCAUGUCCAGCCUGAUGAAAAGGAAUGCUGCAGGAGAGCCUUGCGUCCUAUUAGCUUGUUGGUGGGGUAACGGCCCACCAAGGCGAUGAUAGGUAGCCGGCCUGAGAGGGUGGACGGCCACAAGGGGACUGAGAUACGGCCCUUACUCCUACGGGAGGCAGCAGUGGGGAAUAUUGGACAAUGGGGGCAACCCUGAUCCAGCAAUUCUGUGUGCACGAUGAAGGUCUUCGGAUUGUAAAGUGCUUUCAGCAGGGAAGAAAAAAAUGACGGUACCUGCAGAAGAAGCGACGGCUAAAUACGUGCCAGCAGCCGCGGUAAUACGUAUGUCGCGAGCGUUAUCCGGAAUUAUUGGGCAUAAAGGGCAUCUAGGCGGCCGGAUAAGUCUGGGGUGAAAACUUGCGGCUCAACCGCAAGCCUGCCCUGGAAACUAUGCGGCUAGAGUACUGGAGAGGUGGACGGAACUGCACGAGUAGAGGUGAAAUUCGUAGAUAUGUGCAGGAAUGCCGAUGAUGAAGAUAGUUCACUGGACGGUAACUGACGCUGAAGUGCGAAAGCUAGGGGAGCAAACAGG